This 119-nucleotide small nucleolar RNA is filed under the name Tupaia belangeri (northern tree shrew). The record is from RNAcentral. Lineage: Eukaryota; Metazoa; Chordata; Mammalia; Scandentia; Tupaiidae.
CUCCUCCUGGGAUUGUGUCUGAAGCGUGGCUAGUGUUCUGCCAGCUUUGGAAAGAGGAAGGAGAGCGAUCCUGCCAGUUUGCACAAGAGCUGGCAACUGGAAGACACUCUGCAACCGUG